CUACGGGUCGCAGCAGUGAGGAAUAUUGCACAAUGGGGGGAACCCUGAUACAGCAACGCCGCGUGGAGGAUGACGCAUUUCGGUGUGUAAACUCCUUUUAUAUGUCAAGAAAAUGACGGUAGCAUAUGAAUAAGCACCGGCUAACUCCGUGCCAGCAGCCGCGGUAAUACGGAGGGUGCAAGCGUUACUCGGAAUCACUGGGCGUAAAGGACGCGUAGGCGGGUUGGAAGGUCAGGUGUGAAAUCCUACAGCUUAACUGUAGAACUGCACUUGAAACUUCUAAUCUAGAGUAUGGGAGGGGGAGAUGGAAUUAGUGGUGUAGGGGUAAAAUCCGUAGAUAUCACUAGGAAUACCUAAAGCGAAGGCGAUCUCCUGGAACAUUACUGACGCUAAGGCGUGAAAGCGUGGGGAGCAAACAGGAUUAGAUACCCUUGUAGUC
Molecule: ribosomal RNA, 439 nt
Filed under: uncultured bacterium
Lineage: Bacteria
Description: partial 16S ribosomal RNA
Rfam family: Bacterial small subunit ribosomal RNA
Source: RNAcentral